This is a non-coding RNA of Hordeum vulgare subsp. vulgare (domesticated barley), 216 nucleotides long. The record is from Rfam. NCBI's taxonomy places the organism in Eukaryota, Viridiplantae, Streptophyta, Magnoliopsida, Poales, Poaceae.
GUUCAAAAGAGGAAAGGCUUGCGGUGGAUACCUAGGCACCCAGAGACGAGGAAGGGCGUAGCAAACGACGAAAUGCUUCGGGGAGUUGAAAAUAAGCAUAGAUCCGGAGAUUCCCAAAUAGGUCAACCUUUUAAACUGNNUGCUGAAUCCAUGAGCAGGCAAGAGACAACCUGGCGAACUGAAACAUCUUAGUAGCCAGAGGAAAAGAAAGCAAAA